GCUUACGGCCCACACCUCCCUGAGCAGCCGAUCUCGUCUGAUCUCGGAAGCUAAGCAGGGUCGGGCCCGGGUAGUACUUGGAUGGGAGACCGCCUGGGAAUACCAGGUGCUGUAGCCU
Molecule: ribosomal RNA, 118 nt
Filed under: Esox lucius (northern pike)
Lineage: Eukaryota; Metazoa; Chordata; Actinopteri; Esociformes; Esocidae
Source: RNAcentral